RNAcentral lists this ribosomal RNA (667 nucleotides) under Lottia argrantesta. RNAcentral describes it as "partial 16S ribosomal RNA". It matches the Rfam family "Bacterial large subunit ribosomal RNA", at positions 1802 to 2619 of the family's 2925-position model. The record is from RNAcentral. Lineage: Eukaryota; Metazoa; Mollusca; Gastropoda; Lottiidae.
GUUUAUCAAAAACAUGGCUCUCCGUAUUUGAGAAUCACGGGAGGUCAGACCUGCACAAUGGCCCAAGGGUUCAAUUGCCGCGGUAACCUGACCGUGCAAAGGUAGCGUAAUAAAUAGCCUAUUAAUUGUUGGCCUGUAUGAAUGGUUAAACGCUGGUGGCGCUGUCUCCGUAGCAUUGCUUUGAAUUUAACUUUUGGGUGAAAAGGCCCAGAUCAGGCUGAAAGACGAUUAGACCCUAUCGAACUUUAGGUAGAUUAUCUUUGGGGCCUAAAUUUUCGGAAGCGCUUUGACGCGCCGAAACCUUUGGUUGGGGUAACCGGGGACUAUGAGAAACGCCCCCCCCUCGUGUGACACCCGUUAGUGGGGUAAAAUGGCUUUACCUUAGGGCAAUUGGCCUCAGGAGAGUACACCACUGGAGUAGAAAAUAUCAUGGCAGUGUAUUUGUAACUUGUAACAAGAAGCUAAAGGCCUGUCGUCUACGGGAGGCAGGAGUCUGUUAAAAGGGAAGAGUUACCGUAGGGAUAACAGCGUAAUCUUUCCGGCGAGACCACAUUAAGGGAAGGGUUUGCGACCUCGAUGUUGGCUUAGGGCUUCCUAAAAGUGCAGGGGCUUUUAAGGGUUGGUCUGUUCGACCAUUAAAGCCUUACGUGAUCUGAGUUCAGACCGG